This is an RNA transcript of Brassica oleracea var. oleracea, 1130 nucleotides long. RefSeq lists it as uncharacterized. The record is from RefSeq and is a predicted model, not a curated record. Lineage: Eukaryota; Viridiplantae; Streptophyta; Magnoliopsida; Brassicales; Brassicaceae. The transcript has 3 exons.
CCUAUUGAAAUUUAGGUUCUUCGUAAUCUUCGAUCUCUGACUUUUUUUUUUUUGUAACACCGAUCUCUGACUUCAACAAUGGAGUUUUGAGAGAUUAAUAUGCUCAAAUCGAAGUGAAGAAUUUUUCUGUAGUAUCUCAAUCACGUCGUUUGAUCUUCUUUAUAUAUCAAUCGAUCGAUCGAAACGUUUUGAGAUACAAAUUCACCGUCUUUAUAGCUUUCUUAACUCUAUCAACCACAGUCUAGCCUUCAAUGCAAGUUUAACUUCUGUAAUCGGUCUAUCUGUGAUUAUAAAAAGGUUAGCCUUCCUCUCAUGAAAACCAUUCUCUCAAUAUCUGAAAACAACUAAGUAAAUUUGGAUCUCCAUCUCCCGAUUUUCUAUCUAUUUAACUUCUGUAAGUCGAGCAUAUUGCCGCCGCCAAAUUGGAUAAUACGGGACGUUCCAAAUUCCUCGAGUUCAACAUUCUUUGAAAGCAAAAGUUAAGAUAUGCUUCCGCCGGGGAGGUUGCAGCGACGGCGGUCUUGCCUCCAAGUUUGUAUCUAUGCCGAUGAAAUGGAAACCUCCUUGACGAUGUGUGGUUUCAAGCUCCUGACGCCUAUGGCGUAUCAUGUAUAUGAAGUUUCUCAUUCUGUUGAACCAUGGAAGCUUGAAGAUUAUCAACCACCAUGCCAUCUUCAAAUGGAGUUACAAAACAGAGACAUAUUCUCAGUUAUAUUUUUUUUUGGAACACUUGGUGUUGAAAGGAGCAAGGGUUUCCCACGACAAGGACCUUGACGUUAGGACUUAGGAGGGCCUCGAGGUUUUUCACCAAUCAAAAGAGCUCACUCCACAUCUUGGAACACUUCAUAAGGAUAUGUUCCUAUAUCAACUUCUCUCAACCAAGGGAACAAGAAACCCUCGAGUUCCAUUGCAAUACCAUCGAGAGAAUGGUUUGGUCUGGUCCAAAUGCUGUAUCAGACUUACUUUGAUUAUUCAUGCAGCACCUCUCUCACUGUGAUUUGAAAUGGACAAGGGUUCGUGACAGAUUUGAUAGCUAUCUUCAUUCUUUUCUUUGAUGUAAUAAAUUCCUCACACUUGGAUUUUUUUUCCCAUAUAAGCCAUAACAUUUUAAUGUUUAUUAAAAUAUUUUA